AUCUGAACUGAUCAUCAUCUUGAGAAUUUUCUGAUGCAUCUUGGCUUUAAUGAAAAUAGAAAUGAAAGAAAAUCAUUAGGACUACCUGAUAUCUCAGGCUCAGUCACAUUCACUUCUAUAUAUGAGUUCAUGCAGCCUGGAAGAACUGGUAAAGUUUAUUUAAAUGCACAAGAGCUUGCUGUCGAGAUGAGCGCCUCACAGGAGUCGCCAUUCCAGCCUGAAAUACAGAAGCUGCUACUUCACAGAGGACACAGAGUCAUUAAGGUUGGAAGAGACUUUCAGGAUCAGCUGCUCCAGUCAUUGCCUACCACAGUGUCACCACUGAGCCAUGUCCCCAGUCACCACAUCCAGCCUUUCCUUCAACACCCCAGGGACGGUGACA
Long non-coding RNA from Oxyura jamaicensis (ruddy duck), 382 nucleotides. RefSeq lists it as uncharacterized. The record is from RefSeq and is a predicted model, not a curated record. NCBI's taxonomy places the organism in Eukaryota, Metazoa, Chordata, Aves, Anseriformes, Anatidae. The transcript has 3 exons.